This 1780-nucleotide ribosomal RNA is filed under the name Triticum aestivum (bread wheat). RNAcentral describes it as "partial small subunit ribosomal RNA". The record is from RNAcentral. Lineage: Eukaryota; Viridiplantae; Streptophyta; Magnoliopsida; Poales; Poaceae.
CCUUAAGAGAGGUAGAAAUAGGGGUUCGGGCUAGGUGGAGAUAGCGGCGUGGUCCGGUGUGUGGGUGGUGUGAGGUAGCGGGGCACGGCGGUAGGUGGACCGGUGGCGGCGGGGGCGCGGCGGUAGGUGGACCGGCGGCGGCGGGGGCACGGCGGUAGGUGGACCGGCGGCGGCGGGGGUGCAGCUGCAGGUUGGCGCGACGGCGACCUCAGGCCUGGUGGUUGAUGCGGCGGCGGCCUCAGGGCUGGAAGUUCGCGCGGCGGCGGCUCGGGUCUGGUGGUUACCGCCGCGGCGGCCUCUGGGUUGGAGGUUGGAGUUGCGGUGGUCCGGGGCUAUUGUUUUCGCACGGUAGUGGUGGGGGUGCUGGGCGCAGCGGCCGCGGGGAGGAGGCGCCGGCCGCGAGAGGGUUGGGCACCAGCUGUGGGUAGGAGAAAACGCCGGUCGCGGGAGGGAGGGGCGCCGGCCGCGCGAGGAAGGGGCGCCGACUGCCCGGAGGUCGAGACACCGGCCGCGUCAGGGAGGAGCGACGUCGAACGGGGAGGAGGUACCUACCGGACGUGGCCGACGGCCUUGAACAACUCCACCAUGGGAAUUGGGAGCUGGAAGUUAAUGUCCAGUGGUUGCUGCGAUGUUUCUCUUUCCCGGGACGCUUCAAGUCAAAAAAAUAAAAGACUUCAAAUCAAACAACUAAAAGACUUCUUUAUCCAAGGAAGUGAACGUGAGGAGAUUGAUCAGGACACACCACUAGAGGAGCUGAGGAUCCAAGCCGUGUUUGACUCUUAACAUUCGUAGAAGACUCAAAUGUUACGAACUUUAACGUCAUGCACUAAUAUAUUGUAAAAUCCACCUUAACCAGUUACAACAAGGGACAUCAACAUAUCACAGGUCUAGUUAGCAGCUAAGGAUAAGAGAUUCACUAAAACUACAGACUUCAAGUUGACAUAUACGUCCUCGUUUUUUGACAACAAAAACCAAGUAAUCAAAGUCAAAGUGUCCAACCAAAAGAAGAGUAAAAUAGAGGUUUUUAAUUAGUUGCUCCUAGCUGCCGUCAGGUCCUAGACGCUUCUGCUCCCUACGACAAAAACCAAACGAAAACACUUAGUCGUAGUGGCGUAAUGUGUGGUGUGGCGGGUGGUCGUCAUGCACAGAGAGUGGUAGCAGGAAGAGAGAAAGAGGAAAGAGAGAGUGAGAGAGUGCGUCCUGUGCCGCGACGGUACCGCCGGGGCUCCUGCUACUCUCGGUACGUCAUACUGUUCAUGCCGCUACCUCGACUUCCGGAGUUCCAUGUACGAGCAGCGGUAUUGCUCGACAGAGGUUUGUCUGAACUGUACGCAGCACAUUCCAAGUUACUGGCUUUCCACUCCAAGUCUGCGACGGCGUUAGGCACGCUGCAUACCGAGCCUCUUGAAGAACGUAAGGAUGAUCUCACUUUGGCAACCACGAGUCCUAGUCUGAAGCCACCAAGUUGGUACGUAUGUUGCUCUACUUUUCCAACGAUACUAUAAUGAUAUACGUAGUCGCAGUGGACGGUCUUCACUAGACGUUUGAGAACUCUGAACCGGUGUGUACCGACCUACCGUAGGAACGUUCGAGACAUCCGACACUGCUAGGACCGUCGAUGGCCGAAUCACGACAAGAAGUCACUCAACUUUACUUUAAACCGUUGUCCGUUGUUAAAGAAGUACUUCGUUCUCUACCGCACAGUCUCACAAAGUGUUUUUCCGCUCCUGCUCACAACCAACUCUUGUAAUCGGAUGUAAAAAACAACGGACGUUCACAC